UGGGUAGUCCGCACGAGCGCACCUUGCCCUAUGUUGCCAGCGGUUCGGCCGGGGACUCAUAGGGGACUGCCGGUGAUAAACCGGAGGAAGGUGGGGACGACGUCAAGUCAUCAUGGCCCUUACGCUUGGGGCUACACACGUGCUACAAUGGCCAGCACAAAGGGCUGCCAACCUGCGAAGGUGAGCGAAUCCCAAAAAGCUGGUCUAAGUUCGGAUUGCAGUCUGCAACUCGACUGCAUGAAGUCGGAAUCGCUAGUAAUCGUAGAUCAGCAACGCUACGGUGAAUACGUUCCCGGGCCUUGUACACACCGCCCGUCACGCCAUGGAAGCCGGGAGUGCCCGAAGUCCGUGUCCUAACCCUUGGGAGGGAGCGGCCGAAGGCAAGCUCGGUAACUGGGGCGAAGUCGUAACAAGGUAGCCGUAGGGGAACCUGCGGCUGGAUCACCUCCUUUCU
RNAcentral lists this ribosomal RNA (454 nucleotides) under uncultured bacterium. Its description in RNAcentral is "bacterial SSU rRNA". It matches the Rfam family "Bacterial small subunit ribosomal RNA", at positions 1077 to 1533 of the family's 1533-position model. The record is from RNAcentral.